RNAcentral lists this ribosomal RNA (164 nucleotides) under uncultured bacterium. RNAcentral describes it as "partial 16S rRNA". It matches the Rfam family "Bacterial small subunit ribosomal RNA", at positions 355 to 511 of the family's 1533-position model. The record is from RNAcentral.
UAGGGAAUCUUCCACAAUGGACGCAAGUCUGAUGGAGCAACGCCGCGUGAGUGAAGAAGAUCUUCGGAUCGUAAAACUCUGUUGUCAGAGAAGAACACGAGUGAGAGUAACUGUUCAUUCGAUGACGGUAUCUAACCAGCAAGUCACGGCUAACUACGUGCCAG